Molecule: non-coding RNA, 115 nt
Organism: Triticum aestivum (bread wheat)
Lineage: Eukaryota; Viridiplantae; Streptophyta; Magnoliopsida; Poales; Poaceae
Source: Rfam
GUACUACUCCCUCCGUUCCGAAUUAGUUGCCGCAGGUAUGGAUGUAUCUAGAUGUAUUUUAGUUCUAGAUACAUCCAUUUCUGCGACGUGUAAUUUGGAACGGAGGGAGUAGAUU